GAGGUUGUGGCUCAGUGGUAGAGCGCUUGCCUUGCAUGUGUGAGGCACUGGGUUCCAUCUUCAGCACCACA
This 71-nucleotide transfer RNA is filed under the name Marmota monax (woodchuck). RNAcentral describes it as "tRNA.Ala". The record is from RNAcentral. Lineage: Eukaryota; Metazoa; Chordata; Mammalia; Rodentia; Sciuridae.